CGGCUGAGCAUUUUAACCAAGUGUUUUCCAUUUCAAAAUUUGACAAAAACCUGUAUAUUUUUGAGUCGUUUAUUUUGCACUGAUGAUAUUGGUGCAGUCAUUUUUUUUCGAGCAUUUUUGUACCCAAGUUUUAUUCCUUUUUCAUGCUUUUAUUUUUUAUUUUUUUAGUCAAAAUAACUAGUGUAAUUAAUUAGGAUUAAUUGGAUGUUUAAUUUGAAUUUAUUGAGUAAUUGGUUUUUUAUUUUAAUUAGCAAGUUCGUUUCUAAUAUUUUCAAAAUAACGAAAUGAAGAUUAUAGAAGGAAUUUGCUUUAGAUUACAUUUACCCAACAACACACCACGCGCUAGCUGGACAAUCUUUCUCCAUCACGUGGCUAGUUAUACCAAGGUAGUGGGUUUUUUACUAAGGGUGGGGCGGCCAAUUAGAGAAGAUCACAUUAC
This 439-nucleotide long non-coding RNA is filed under the name Lathyrus oleraceus (garden pea). RNAcentral describes it as "Pisum sativum (pea) long non-coding RNA (PSAT_LNC024817)". The record is from RNAcentral. Lineage: Eukaryota; Viridiplantae; Streptophyta; Magnoliopsida; Fabales; Fabaceae.